UAGUCGCUGACAGCAGCCAGCCAGCCAGGUUUGUGAUCUCUGCUGCCGGGAAAAUUAAAUAUAAAACCUCGGAAGUCAUAAUGAAGCGGAGUUAUGUGUCCGGAAGCUAGAAAAGAAUGAAGAGAAAUGAAGAGGAUGACAAGAAAAAAUAAGAUAGUGGUGCUUUGCUUAAAUUUAUCAGCCCUCAGCCUUACUAAGGAUACCUCCACUGAUGAAGGUAGAGUGAAUUUCUCUCACUGAGCUGAGCUGUUAAUGACUCAUUCCAAUAUGCUAACAGUGAAAUGGUCAACGUACUUUACAGGAACAAACUGUCUUCUGUCUCACCUUCUCCAUUUCACCCAGAAACACAUCUACAUAAUCACGUGGGUCUGACGGAUCCCUGUCCUCAAC
Long non-coding RNA from Alosa sapidissima (American shad), 390 nucleotides. RefSeq lists it as uncharacterized. The transcript has 3 exons. The record is from RefSeq and is a predicted model, not a curated record. Lineage: Eukaryota; Metazoa; Chordata; Actinopteri; Clupeiformes; Clupeidae.